This 253-nucleotide ribosomal RNA is filed under the name uncultured bacterium. Its description in RNAcentral is "partial 16S ribosomal RNA". It matches the Rfam family "Bacterial small subunit ribosomal RNA", at positions 524 to 776 of the family's 1533-position model. The record is from RNAcentral.
UACGGGGGGGGCAAGCGUUGUUCGGAAUUACUGGGCGUAAAGGGCUCGUAGGCGGCCAACUAAGUCAGACGUGAAAUCCCCAGGCUUAACCUGGGAACUGCGUCUGAUACUGGAUGGCUUGAAUCCGGGAGAGGGAUGCAGAAUUCCAGGUGUAGCGGUGAAAUGUGUUGAUAUUGGAAGGAACACCGGAGGCGAAAGCGGUGUACUGGGGCUGGUCUGACGCUGAGGCACGAAAGCCAGGGGAGCGAACGGG